AGACCCCUACCUUUACUCGGAUCGUCCGGCACGUUCCUGCCGGUGAAGGGACAUAUCA
Molecule: non-coding RNA, 58 nt
Organism: Streptomyces autolyticus
Lineage: Bacteria; Bacillati; Actinomycetota; Actinomycetes; Kitasatosporales; Streptomycetaceae
Source: Rfam